RNAcentral lists this ribosomal RNA (468 nucleotides) under uncultured eukaryote. RNAcentral describes it as "SSU rRNA". It matches the Rfam family "Eukaryotic small subunit ribosomal RNA", at positions 579 to 1057 of the family's 1831-position model. The record is from RNAcentral.
GUAAUUCCAGCUUCAAUAGCGUAUAUUAAAGUUGUUGCAGUUAAAAAGCUCGUAGUUGGAUUUCUGGGAGAGUGCCAAUGUCCGCCGCGUGCGUGUUGCAGCGGCGCUCUUCCAUCCUUCUGUUAACCUUUCUGGUAUUCACUUACUGGUUUGGGGCUCAGAUAUUUUACCUUGAGAAAAUUAGAGUGUUUCAGGCAGGCUUGCGCCCGAAUACAUUAGCAUGGAAUAAUAGAAUAGGACUUUGGUCUCCUUUGUUGGUUUGAGGGACUAGAGUAAUGAUUAAUAGGGACAGUUGGGGGCAUUAGUAUUUAAUUGUCAGAGGUGAAAUUCUCGGAUUUGUUAAAGACUAACUUAUGCGAAAGCAUCUGCCAAGGAUGUUUUCAUUAAUCAAGAACGAAAGUUAGGGGAUCAAAGACGAUCAGAUACCGUCGUAGUCUUAACUAUAAACUAUGCCGACNGGGGGAUCGG